RNAcentral lists this ribosomal RNA (460 nucleotides) under uncultured bacterium. RNAcentral describes it as "partial 16S ribosomal RNA". It matches the Rfam family "Bacterial small subunit ribosomal RNA", at positions 338 to 795 of the family's 1533-position model. The record is from RNAcentral.
CCUACGGGUGGCAGCAGUGAGGAAUAUUGGUCAAUGGACGAGACUCUGAACCAGCAACGUAGCGUGAAGGAUGACUGCCCUAGGGGUGGUAAACUUCUUUUAUAGGGGAAUAAAACAGGGUAUGCAUACCCUCUUGUAUGUACCAUAUGAAUAAGCAUAGGCUAACUCCGUGCCAGCAGCCGCGGUAAUACGGAGGAUUCGAGCGUUAUCCGGAUUUAUUGGGUUUAAUGGGUGCGUAGGUGGAUUGUUAAGUCAGUGGUGAAAGUUUGCGGCUCAACCGUAGAAGUGCAGCUGAAACGGGCAGUCUUGAGUACAGUAGAGGUGAGCGGAAUUCGUGGUGUAGCGGUGAAAUGCGUAGAUAUCACGAAGAACUCCGAUGGCGAAGGCAGCUUGCUGGACUGUAACUGACACUGAGGCACGAAAGUGUGGGGAUCAAACAGGAUUAGAUACCCCGGUAGUC